UACGAAGGGGGCUAGCGUUGCUCAGAAUUACUGGGCGUAAAGCGCACGUAGGCGGCUUGGCAUGUCGGGGGUGAAAUCCCCGGGCUCAACCUGGGAACUGCAUCCGAAACUGCCUUGCUAGAGUAUGGGAGAGGGAAGUGGAAUUUCCGGUGUAGCGGUGAAAUGCGUAGAUAUCGGAAGGAACAUCAGUGGCGAAGGCGACUUCCUGGACCAAUACUGACGCUCAGGUGCGAAAGCGUGGGGAGCAAACAGG
Molecule: ribosomal RNA, 253 nt
Filed under: uncultured bacterium
Lineage: Bacteria
Description: partial 16S ribosomal RNA
Rfam family: Bacterial small subunit ribosomal RNA
Source: RNAcentral